AACAGAGGAUGCAAGCGUUAUCCGGAAUUAUUGGGCGUAAAGCGUCUGUAGGUGGCUUUUUAAGUCUGCCGUCAAAUCCCAGGGCUUAACCCUGGACAGGCGGUGGAAACUACCAAGCUGGAGUACGGUAGGGGCAGAGGGAAUUUCCGGUGGAGCGGUGAAAUGCGUAGAGAUCGGAAAGAACACCAACGGCGAAGGCACUCUGCUGGGCCGACACUGACACUGAGAGACGAAAGCUAGGGGAGCAAAUGGG
Molecule: ribosomal RNA, 253 nt
Filed under: uncultured bacterium
Lineage: Bacteria
Description: partial 16S ribosomal RNA
Rfam family: Bacterial small subunit ribosomal RNA
Source: RNAcentral